GAUGAACGCUAGCGGCAGGCCUAAUACAUGCAAGUCGGACGGGAUUCAGGAGCUUGCUUCUGAUGAGAGUGGCGCACGGGUGCGUAACACGUAUGUAACCUACCUUUAUCAGGGGGAUAGCCUCUCGAAAGAGAGAUUAAGCCCGCAUAAAAUCACAGCACAGCAUUGUGUAAUGAUCAAAUAUUUAUAGGAUAAAGAUGGGCAUGCGGAACAUUAGCUAGAUGGCGGGGUAACGGCCCACCAUGGCGACGAUGUUUAGGGGAUCUGAGAGGAUGGCCCCCCACACUGGUGCUGAGACACGGACCAGACUCCUACGGGAGGCAGCAGUAAGGAAUAUUGGUCAAUGGGCGGAAGCCUGAACCAGCCAUGCCGCGUGCAGGAAGACGGCCCUACGGGUUGUAAACUGCUUUUAUACGGGAAUAAACCCAGAUACGUGUAUCUGGCUGAAUGUACUGUAAGAAUAAGGAUCGGCUAACCCCGUG
This 482-nucleotide ribosomal RNA is filed under the name uncultured bacterium. RNAcentral's name for it is "partial 16S ribosomal RNA". It matches the Rfam family "Bacterial small subunit ribosomal RNA", at positions 28 to 507 of the family's 1533-position model. The record is from RNAcentral.